Molecule: ribosomal RNA, 827 nt
Filed under: Polytus mellerborgi (small banana weevil)
Lineage: Eukaryota; Metazoa; Arthropoda; Insecta; Coleoptera; Curculionidae
Description: partial large subunit ribosomal RNA
Rfam family: Eukaryotic large subunit ribosomal RNA
Source: RNAcentral
GUUAGGGGUAACCUGAGAAACCCGAAAGGUCGAAGGGAGAAAUUCAUUCGCGUUUCGCGGUAGGCGUUUGGCGGUCGCGUGACGAAAAACGCGCGUACGUUUCGGCGUACGUGUUCGUUUUUUCGCUCCAUCCGUCAUUCGAUCCGAUCGUGAACGCGUGCACUUUUCUCUCGGUAGGACGUCGCGAUCCGUUGGGUGUCGGUCUAAGGUUCGCGGUGGAGCCCGCAAAUAUACGUUUCACGACGCUAUUUGUGGACCCGCGUCUUUUCCCGACCGACUCGCUCGACGGUAUACGAUAGGUUUAAGGCCGCUCGAUACUUACACGAGCGUUCGACUCGUCGCAAGCGCGUCAGAUGUUUGUCGGCGAUCGGACCAGGUGCCGGUUCCGACCUCUGAUGACUGUUGGCGACGAAGUUCUCGAACGGACCUUAAUUUUCUUCACGGAAAAUUUUCAAAAACCGAUCUGCGACGCUAUAGCUUUGGGUACUUUCAGGACCCGUCUUGAAACACGGACCAAGGAGUCUAGCAUGCGCGCGAGUCAUUGGGAAUUUAAUAAACCUAAAGGCGUAAUGAAAGUAAAAGUUCGUCUCGCACGAACCUAGGGAAGAUGAACGGUUUUUUUGUGGACCGUUCCGCAUUCCCGGGGCGUCUCGUUCUCAUCGCGAGAAGAGGCGCACCAAGAGCGUACACGCUGGGACCCGAAAGAUGGUGAACUAUGCCUGGUCAGGACGAAGUCAGGGGAAACCCUGAUGGAGGUCCGUAGCGAUUCUGACGUGCAAAUCGAUCGUCGGAACUGGGUAUAGGGGCGAAAGACUAAUCGAACCAUC